UACGAAGGGGGCUAGCGUUGCUCGGGAUCACUGGGCGUAAAGGGCGCGUAGGCGGGCUCUUAAGUCAGGGGUGAAAGCCCAAGGCUCAACCUUGGAAUUGCCUUUGAUACUGAGGGCCUUGAGACCGGAAGAGGUCGGCGGAACUGCGAGUGUAGAGGUGAAAUUCGUAGAUAUUCGCAAGAACACCAGUGGCGAAGGCGGCCGACUGGUCCGGUUCUGACGCUGAUGCGCGAAAGCGUGGGGAGCAACUGGG
This 253-nucleotide ribosomal RNA is filed under the name uncultured bacterium. RNAcentral describes it as "partial 16S ribosomal RNA". It matches the Rfam family "Bacterial small subunit ribosomal RNA", at positions 524 to 776 of the family's 1533-position model. The record is from RNAcentral.